GCGUGAGUGAUGAAGGCCUUAGGGUUGUAAAGCUCUUUUACCCGGGAUGAUAAUGACAGUACCGGGAGAAUAAGCCCCGGCUAACUCCGUGCCAGCAGCCGCGGUAAUACGGAGGGGGCUAGCGUUAUUCGGAAUCACUGGGCGUAAAGCGUACGUAGGCGGUGACUCAAGUCAGAGGUGAAAGCCUGGAGCUCAACUCCAGAACUGCCUUUGAAACUAGAUAACUAGAAUCUUGGAGAGGUGAGUGGAAUUCCGAGUGUAGAGGUGAAAUUCGU
RNAcentral lists this ribosomal RNA (275 nucleotides) under uncultured bacterium. Its description in RNAcentral is "partial 16S ribosomal RNA". It matches the Rfam family "Bacterial small subunit ribosomal RNA", at positions 399 to 691 of the family's 1533-position model. The record is from RNAcentral.